Non-coding RNA from Lingula anatina, 71 nucleotides. NCBI's taxonomy places the organism in Eukaryota, Metazoa, Brachiopoda, Lingulata, Lingulida, Lingulidae. The record is from the annotation of a RefSeq genome assembly.
GGUGCCAUCUUCAACUGGUGGGGCCCCGCAUUGAUGCAGCGGGUGAGGUGGUUCGAGUCCAUCUGGCGCCU